UUGGAUACGUAGAGAGUAACAACAGAUUAGCGGGAUAAGAAUAAGUUAGAUUUAAGAUUUUUCUAUGGAUUCAUGGGAAUGAUUUUACGUUCCCGUACGUGGAAAAUUCUUCAACAGUGUCGAAGAAAGAGUUAAGAAUCCUGAAAGGGUAAGAAAGAAAGACAUAGAGAAAGAGAGAGAGAGAGAGAGAAAGAGUUGGUAUCAAGAGGCGAUUGCAAAAAACAAGAGUAGAAGUUAGCAGGAGUAGCUGGAGUAACAGCAGCCAGCACCAACAGCAGCCAGCAUAUACGUAUUAGAGCUUGCUGUCAUAACGGAAGGACGAUUGGUCAGAUGUCACGACCUUCUCAUUAACCUCGAGAAGAAGAAGAAAAAGAAAAAGAAGAUGGAGAAGAAGGAGAAAGAGAAGGAGAAGGAGAAGAAGAAGAAGAAGAAGAAGAAGAAGAAGAAGAAGAAGAAGUAGGAAGAAAGGAAGGAAGGAAGAAUAGAGGAAGGGGAUGGGAAGGGAAUGGGAAGAAAAAAACAAGAAGGGCGAAGGAGUCUGAGAGAAUCCCGAAUGGUUCUAUGUUGGCUUGACCACAAAACUUUAUCCUUCUCUUUCUUUCUUAAGAGUGCUCAAGAAAGCGAAACAAGUUCGAGGUUUAAAUUUGGAGCUCCCACCCCCGUUAAAGGAACCUUUUUCUCUUUUGGAUCCCAGGAUGGCACCUGCACCAAGUUGUUAACACCCACACUGAUCUUCUCGUAGAUUUGACAGGAAGGAAACAUUAUCCUCGAAUCCUAAAGAUCUUGCUUCCGCUUAUAACACGCCUAAAUUCACCCUCCUACUCGUUCUAUAGUAUCUAUAAUUACUUGCCACUUUACUUUCAAUAUCAACGAAAGAACUCCCACGGUUUUUGUAAAAAAAAGAAAAAAAAAAAAUAAAAAGAUAAAAAAAAAUAUGAAAAAAAAAUAUGAAAAAAAAAAGGAAAAUGAAAAAAUUUUCGGAACAAAAAUCCGUCCUACUGUAUAUCAUCAAAUUCUCAUUUUUAUUAACAUGACACAAAUGCUUCCCUUAAAAGGUAACAGCCCUCUUGUUCGUUAGGGGAGGUCGUAUGGUUUACAUCUGGAAUAUUAGGGAAAUCGUUUGUAUUCCAUUCAUACCAGAAAGCAUAACUCGUUUUUAUAGAGUGUAUGAUAAAAAAAAAAAAAAA
Molecule: long non-coding RNA, 1187 nt
Organism: Vespa mandarinia (Asian giant hornet)
Lineage: Eukaryota; Metazoa; Arthropoda; Insecta; Hymenoptera; Vespidae
Source: RefSeq, a predicted model, not a curated record